CGCGGGAGCGGAGCGGAUGGGGGGGUGAUGUGGAGGGGGGGGGGGUCUGUUUAAUGCGGGCGGUGGAUUAAAAGGGCAUUAGGAGUGUCUGUCUGAAGCGGCGUGUCAAGCGUUAGUGCCGAGUGCCUCCUUUGUUACAAGUUGCCCUCGCGCAGAGUUCGGCUCGCAGCUGACGGCGCAGCGGAAUAUAAAAUCUCCUCGCAUCUGAAAAGGCAGUAAGGAGGAGUUGUCGGCGGCAGGUGCAUCGCUGCUCCCCGACAAUGGAUCCUUUAUUCUUUCAUAUUAGUCACUCGCAGCUUUUUCAAUGAACGUGUGACAUUUAAAAUCCAUUACUGAUGGCGGGACGUGAGGCUCUCACACACGGGAUUCUGUAGUUGGAGCAUGAGAUUACGCUGCAUUUGCUGCCUUUGCUCGUAUAAUUGUCAUAUUGUGCUCGCUUGGUGGACAAGCGUGUGACAUUGAACAAGUUUGUUCAUAUGAAGACACGUGUGUGGCUGAGAUAUGCACCUAUUACAGCUUGGUAACGUAACCCUUUCAUCACGCACGCGCGCGCGCGCGCGCGGCUCGUGUGGUGAGACGGCAGAAAAAGCGGCGCGUGGGCGAUCAUUGAGUGUCGCCCAAAGGCUCCGCUGCAUCGACACGUUGCCGUCAGACGCGAAGGAAGCUGGCUUUUGUCUUGAGUGCCCCCCACAUACACACACGCGCGCGCGCGCGCGCGUCGGCUGGCGUCUCAGCGUCAGGCGUGGCAGCAGAAGUACCACAUCACCAUCUGUUGGUUGUCACGGGCAACAGCGGCAGCGGAGCCGAGCAGCUCCUCCCUGCGUGGAGCCUGGAAGUUGAAGCUGAGAUGGAGAUUCACGUGGAAUCUGGUUCAACAGACAACACUGUUAAACUUGUUUAAGCGCUCGCUGCUUCAUUAUUCUUGCGCUGAACUUGAAGUGACCUCGUUCCCUCACGAAUCUUCUCUUUCAUCUAAUACAGAUUUCUGUAAUUCCCCUCCGUCCCGCUGCGUCCCUCAUUCAAUACAUCCACCCCUCUGUCUCCCAACUCCGUGUUGUCCCACUCCCCUCGGUGCCUCCAUGUAAUCGCCCCCCUUCCGUCAUUUAUCUCUCGGUCUCAUCGAGAACAACCCGAGGCUCUGACAGCAGGAAGGAUUCAUCAGGGUGGAGAACGGGAUACGUGAGCACGUCCACGUCCAUUAGCAGCCACCGUUCAUAUUGAAUAAGUGCUAAAAACAUUCUGAUGCGAAUCUUAUGCAAAUGAACACGAAUGAUCCAUAAAAUAAAAACAAAAAGCAAAGUAGUUCUUGGUUGUCU
This 1316-nucleotide long non-coding RNA is filed under the name Betta splendens (Siamese fighting fish). RNAcentral describes it as "lncRNA (ENSBSLG00000014159.1)". Lineage: Eukaryota; Metazoa; Chordata; Actinopteri; Anabantiformes; Osphronemidae. The record is from RNAcentral.